This 319-nucleotide ribosomal RNA is filed under the name uncultured Pseudomonadota bacterium. RNAcentral's name for it is "bacterial SSU rRNA". It matches the Rfam family "Bacterial small subunit ribosomal RNA", at positions 30 to 351 of the family's 1533-position model. Lineage: Bacteria; Pseudomonadati; Pseudomonadota. The record is from RNAcentral.
AUUGAACGCUGGCGGUAUGCUUAACACAUGCAAGUCGAACGGUAACAGGCCUUCGGGCGCUGACGAGUGGCGGACGGGUGAGUAACGCGUAGGAAUCUGCCUCAUAGUGGGGGACAACGUGGGGAAACUCACGCUAAUACCGCAUACGCCCUACGGGGGAAAGCGGGGGACCUUCGGGCCUCGCGCUAUGAGAUGAGCCUAAGUCGGAUUAGCUAGUUGGUGGGGUAAAGGCCUACCAAGGCGACGAUCUGUAGCGGGUCUGAGAGGAUGAUCCGCCACACUGGGACUGAGACACGGUCCAGACUCCUACGGGAGGCAG